GACGAACGCUGGCGGCGUGCCUAAUACAUGCAAGUAGAACGCUGAAGGAGGAGCUUGCUCUUCUGGAUGAGUUGCGAACGGGUGAGUAACGCGUAGGUAACCUGCCUGGUAGCGGGGGAUAACUAUUGGAAACGAUAGCUAAUACCGCAUAACAUUGACUAUUGCAUGAUAGUCAAUUAAAAGGUGCAAAUGCACCACUACCAGAUGGACCUGCGUUGUAUUAGCUAGUUGGUGGGGUAACGGCUCACCAAGGCGACGAUACAUAGCCGACCUGAGAGGGGGAUCGGCUACACUGGGACUGGGACACGGCCCAGACUCCUACGGGAGGCAGCAGUAGGGAAUCUUCGGCAAUGGACGGAAGUCUGACCGAGCAACGCCGCGUGAGUGAAGAAGGUUUUCGGAUCGUAAAGCUCUGUUGUAAGAGAAGAACGAGUGUGAGAGUGGAAAGUUCACACUGUGACGGUAUCUUACCAGAAAGGGACGGCUAACUACGUG
RNAcentral lists this ribosomal RNA (495 nucleotides) under uncultured bacterium. RNAcentral's name for it is "partial 16S ribosomal RNA". It matches the Rfam family "Bacterial small subunit ribosomal RNA", at positions 28 to 507 of the family's 1533-position model. The record is from RNAcentral.